GCGCGAAAACUUUACAAUGCUGGCAACAGCGAUAAGGGAACCUCGAGUGCCAGGUUACAAAUCUGGCUGUCGAGAUGCCUAAAAAGCAUUUCAUAGCAAGGGCCGGGCAAGACCGGUGCCAGCCGCCGCGGUAACACCGGCGGCUCGAGUGGUAACCGUUAUUAUUGGGUCUAAAGGGUCUGUAGCCGGCCGGAUAAGUCUCUUGAGAAAUCUGGCAGCUUAACUGUCAGGCUUUCAGGAGAUACUGUCUGGCUCGAGGCCGGGAGAGGUGAGAGGUACUUCAGGGGUAGGGGUGAAAUCUUGUAAUCCUUGAAGGACCACCAGUGGCGAAGGCGUCACCAGAACGGACCUGACGGCAAGGGACGAAAGCUAGGGGCACGAACCG
This 385-nucleotide ribosomal RNA is filed under the name uncultured bacterium. RNAcentral describes it as "bacterial SSU rRNA". It matches the Rfam family "Archaeal small subunit ribosomal RNA", at positions 339 to 726 of the family's 1478-position model. The record is from RNAcentral.